UGUUUAUUGAUCUAACACAAAUAAUUUACUGAUAUUUACACUUAAAACAAAAAUGGUAAGCUUUUCUUUUUUCCUAUCAGAAGUUUUAGUAACAUUUUAUGGUAAUAAAGAUACUUAUUCCAAAAAUAAUUUGUAUUUACGUAUUACGUAAUUAACGUAAGUCUAAUACAAAAACUCUAAAUAAAAAAAUAACAAUCAAUUUGAGGAAAUGUAUACAAGAAAAUAGAUUUAUGUGUGUCAACAGGUUUUUAUGAAACAUUUCAAGUCUUUUCUUUUUCUUUAAAUAAUGCCGAGAUAAUUUUUUUAAUUGAUUUAAUUUAUGAAUUACAAAUUAUUAUUACUUUAAGAUUUUUUUUUAUUUGUUUCGUUUUUGUUAAGAAAAGACCGCAAAGGAUAGAAAUAUUAGAUAUAUGUAUUCAUGGACAUUCUUACAAUGAUUCUACAAGUUAAAAAAAAAAAGAAAUGGUUUGGUUUUCAAUGAUACAAUGAGACAGCUAUCCAAAUAAAAUGUUAGCAUGUAUCGGUACAAUAUAAACGACAGGCCUUAAAAAUGAGGAAAACUCAUACCGUAUAGUCAUCUAUUAAAAGGCAGGAAAUAAAAAUGACACAAUGUGGCACAAUACAAAUGAGAAAACCAAAAAUGUGAUUUAACGAUCAAAUAUUAAAAAACAUCAAACAACGACCACCACUAGAUAACAGGUCCCUGACUUGGAACUAAUGUGGCGGGACUAACAUGAUUUGUGAUCGGUUUACCCCCCCUUAGCCUGAAAGUCAAUUAUAGUCUAGAAUUAAAACAACACAAGUAUGGACAUAGUUACUCGUUGUAGGUCAUACAUAAAAGUAUGUUUGUGCAAUUCGUCAAAUUUCCAGUCCUUAAUAAAAAAAAAUUACCGAUCUCUAAAUUGUCGGUCCUUUUUAAUGUUUUAUCAAAACGUAAAUACAAGCAUCUUUAAUAUCCAACAAGGUCGAUACAUCAUAACCCGUAAGUUGUAGCUUGAAUGGGCUUUUUAAAAUACCGUUGGACGGAUGAAUUAGUUGAAAUCAAAUAACAACUUAAAAAUAAAGCAUGUUGAAUCAGACUGGCUGGGGAGGUCAUUAUGAUUUUAAAGUUACGGGGGGGGGGGGGGAAUUAAAAUCACAAAUAAUGGACUGCGGAUACAUAUAUGAUUUUACAUUAAGGGGUUAUUCCUGUCAUUAUAGAACAGACAUGAAGACAUACAAAUCAAUAUGGCUUACGUGUUUUUUUCAAACUACGUAUAGCAUGACAAAUAUUGUAUUACAUAUUCUACUUUCAGAUUCAAUCAAUUCUUAGUUUUUGCUUUCCCUUUGUUUUAUUGUGUGCGGUUACUUCUGGUAAGGAAACAGAUACACAAGAUACAGGAAUAGUUUACACAGCAGAUAAACGAAUUUGUCAAAAUAUAACAUGGUAAUAUAUGAUAUUCCUCUACUUUAUCCAUGUAGUGCCAAUGAAUGAUUUGCCCGCCCACC
Molecule: long non-coding RNA, 1488 nt
Filed under: Mytilus galloprovincialis (Mediterranean mussel)
Lineage: Eukaryota; Metazoa; Mollusca; Bivalvia; Mytilida; Mytilidae
Source: RNAcentral